GACACUUUGGCCGAGUGGUUAAGGCGCGAGCCUGCUAUUUCCGAUAGCUUCGCCAGCUCGUGGGUUCGCCCGCGUGAGUUCGAAUCUCACAGGUGUCG
Molecule: non-coding RNA, 98 nt
Organism: Ascosphaera acerosa
Lineage: Eukaryota; Fungi; Ascomycota; Eurotiomycetes; Onygenales; Ascosphaeraceae
Source: the annotation of a GenBank genome assembly